This 200-nucleotide ribosomal RNA is filed under the name Anaerobium acetethylicum. RNAcentral describes it as "23S rRNA. Bacterial LSU". It matches the Rfam family "Bacterial large subunit ribosomal RNA", at positions 2727 to 2925 of the family's 2925-position model. Lineage: Bacteria; Bacillati; Bacillota; Clostridia; Lachnospirales; Lachnospiraceae. The record is from RNAcentral.
UACCAAUGGCAUGGCAGAGUAGCCAAGUUCGGCAGGGAUAAACGCUGAAGGCAUCUAAGCGUGAAGCCCCCCUCAAGAUGAGAUAUCUCAUAGCAUAAGCUAGUAAGACCCCUUGAAGACGACGAGGUGGAUAGGACAGAGGUGGAAGCAUGGCAACAUGUGGAGCUGACUGUUACUAAUAGGUCGAGGGCUUGACCAUA